RNAcentral lists this ribosomal RNA (481 nucleotides) under uncultured bacterium. Its description in RNAcentral is "partial 16S ribosomal RNA". It matches the Rfam family "Bacterial small subunit ribosomal RNA", at positions 28 to 507 of the family's 1533-position model. The record is from RNAcentral.
GACGAACGUUGGCGGCGUGCUUAAUACAUGCAAGUCCACUGAAGCAGUGGUAGCAAUAUCGCUGUGGAGGUGGCGCACGGGUGAGUAACACGUAGGUAAUCUGCCUUCAGGUCUGGCAUAACUCCGGGAAACCGGGGCUAAUAGCAGAUGAUGCAGCGGCUCGACAUCGAGACAGUUGUUAAAGCUAUGGCGCCUGAAGAUGAGCCUGCGUCUGAUUAGCUAGUUGGCGGGGUAACGGCCCACCAAGGCAACGAUCAGUAGCUGGUCUGAGAGGAUGAUCAGCCACAAUGGAACUGAGACACGGUCCAGACUCCUACGGGAGGCAGCAGUAAGGAAUAUUGCUCAAUGGGAGAAAUCCUGAAGCAGCAACGCCGCGUGAGGGACGAAGGGCUUUUGCUUGUAAACCUCUGUAGUGAGAGAAAAAAAUCCCAAUCUUUGGGACAUGAUGGUAUCUCAAAAGUAAGCCCCGGCUAACUACGUG